CCUACGGGAGGCAGCAAUGAGGAAUAUUGGUCAAUGGACGAGAGUCUGAACCAGCCAAGUAGCGUGAAGGAUGACUGCCCUAUGGGUUGUAAACUUCUUUUAUAUGGGAAUAAAAUGUUCCACGUGUGGGAUUUUGUAUGUACCAUAUGAAUACGGAUCGGCUAACUCCGUGCCAGCAGCCGCGGUAAUACGGAGGAUCCGAGCGUUAUCCGGAUUUAUUGGGUUUAAAGGGAGCGUAGGUGGAUUGUUAAGUCAGUUGUGAAAGUUUGCGGCUCAACCGUAAAAUUGCAGUUGAAACUGGCAGUCGUGAGUACAGUAGAGGUGGGCGGAAUUCGUGGUGUAGCGGUGAAAUGCUUAGAUAUCACGAAGAACUCCGAUUGCGAAGGCAGCUCACUGGACUGCAACUGACACUGAGGCUCGAAAGUGUGGGUAUCAAACAGGAUUAGAUACCCCGGUAGUC
This 460-nucleotide ribosomal RNA is filed under the name uncultured bacterium. Its description in RNAcentral is "partial 16S ribosomal RNA". It matches the Rfam family "Bacterial small subunit ribosomal RNA", at positions 338 to 795 of the family's 1533-position model. The record is from RNAcentral.